AAGCUUUCAGUAUUUACUUGACAAAUGCAAAAAUAACGAGAAACUGAUUAAGCAAAUUCAUGCCGAGGCCAUAACAAUUGGUUCUCUUUUCACUCAUCAAAACCUCGCCUAUAAAUUAUUAAACACCUACACAAAAUUCAACAAACCAAUCGAAGCCCACAAAAUUUUCAUCCAAAAUCAAAAACCCAAAUUUAGUGUGGAUCUGACGUUUCAUGUUCACAUAUGAAAAUUAUCGUAAAGUUUCAAACAUUAAUCUUAUUACCAGUUAAUUAGUGUGAACGGUGAAGAAGAU
Molecule: long non-coding RNA, 292 nt
Filed under: Panax ginseng (ginseng)
Lineage: Eukaryota; Viridiplantae; Streptophyta; Magnoliopsida; Apiales; Araliaceae
Description: long non-coding RNA (PGIN_LNC002877)
Source: RNAcentral